Molecule: ribosomal RNA, 492 nt
Filed under: uncultured bacterium
Lineage: Bacteria
Description: partial 16S ribosomal RNA
Rfam family: Bacterial small subunit ribosomal RNA
Source: RNAcentral
AGUGAACGCUGGCGGUAGGCCUAACACAUGCAAGUCGAACGGCAGCACAGUAAGAGCUUGCUCUUACGGGUGGCGAGUGGCGGACGGGUGAGGAAUACAUCGGAAUCUACUUUUUCGUGGGGGAUAACGUAGGGAAACUUACGCUAAUACCGCAUACGACCUACGGGUGAAAGCAGGGGAUCUUCGGACCUUGCGCGAUUGAAUGAGCCGAUGUCGGAUUAGCUAGUUGGCGGGGUAAAGGCCCACCCAGGCGACGAUCCGUAGCUGGUCUGAGAGGAUGGUCAGCCACACUGGAACUGAGACACGGUCCAGACUCCUACGGGAGGCAGCAGUGGGGAAUAUUGGACAAUGGGCGCAAGCCUGAUCCAGCCAUACCGCGUGGGUGAAGAAGGCCUUCGGGUUGUAAAGCCCUUUUGUUGGGAAAGAAAAGCAGCAGGUUAAUACCCCGCUGUUCUGACGGUACCCAAAGAAUAAGCACCGGCUAACUUCGUG